Passer domesticus (house sparrow) is the source of this 2094-nucleotide long non-coding RNA. RefSeq lists it as uncharacterized. The record is from RefSeq and is a predicted model, not a curated record. Lineage: Eukaryota; Metazoa; Chordata; Aves; Passeriformes; Passeridae. The transcript is spliced from 6 exons.
GUUCCUUCCACAGUCCCCUCCUGCACGGUGUCCUCCCUCUGCACCCCGGCCAUCACAGAGCCAUCCCAGUGCCAGAAGCCCCUCAGACACUCCCAGCUCUCCUCUCCAUCUCCAGGGAGCACAGGGACUGUUCACACCUCCAGGAUUCAUGCAGGAUGGUUGCCAUUGUGGGCUACCUGACACAUUUUUACCUUGCCCCACUCUCUGGUUCCUCUUGCCUCAAUUGCCAUGGAUUCUCUCCUGUGCUCCCCAGCCUGCAGCUUAUUUUGAAGAUUUAACUGGAACUUCUGCAGUACACUUGUUUCAUAUCAACCCUCUCUGCAGGGAGGAAUUUUGUCCAAGUCAGGCUCUGAUUAGGUCAAUUCUUGUGACGAAGUUAUUCCCGCAAACCCACAAUUACUGUUAGGCUGAGUUUUCUGGAAAAAGAGAUUUCUUUGCAUGUUGUCUGACCAUCCCACUGCAGGACUGAUGCGUGUUGGUAUGUGUAGAGAAACAGAUAUACUGCUGUGGGAAAUGAAUACUGGGAUCAGAAGAAGCAGGAAACCGUAUACAGAGAAAGGUCUACCUACAUUACUUUUUAAACAAGAUUUGGGUCUUUAUGGUGAUCAAUAAGGAAGAUCUUGUGCAGAAGUUAUUUGGCUCCCAGAGGUCUGGAUUUGAGAGCAGAGGAUGACUCCUACAAAAUAAUUCUACCUGAGCACAAAAAGGCUCCUUUCCUACCCAAAGAAAGCAGAAGAAUUUGCUGAUUCACAAUGUGGAUCUCUACAGGGCUAAACCAGGAAAUCAAGUGAUGGGAAUUACAUAAAUCAGCUGAAAUUCAUAGAGUCAUAGAAUGGUUUGAGUUGGAAGAGACCUUCCAGAUCAUCUAGAUCCUCAAGUUCCAACACCCCUGCCAGUAGCAGGGACCCCAUCCACUCAGCCAGGUUGCUCAGGACCUCAUCCAGCCUGGCCUUGAACACUUCCUGGGAUGAGGCUUCCACAAUAUUUCUGCACAACUUGUUCCAGUGCCUCACCAUCCUUGAAGAAUUUCCUACCUGUGUGUGAUAAAGACUAUUAGUGGAUUAAAAUGUCAAUGGCACACCAUGCAAUGACUUCUUCACAAACCUUAUUCCUACACCACUAAACAGCAAUUCAGCAGAAUUUGUGUAUAUCAUCAAACAUUAACUUAUUGCCAGCUUUCCAAGACAAGAAAACGUUGUCAUAAUGGGCACUGCUACAGACACAGACUGUAUGGACAUAAAAAAAACCAUGGGGAUAAUUAAGCUAUGUUGGUGUUUUAUCAGUUUUUACUGGUGCUACCAGAAUCUGCAGAAACUAUUUUGGGAAAAGAAAGACUGAAUAAUUUUAGGCUUUUCUGAAAUUUAGGGUGUGUUAAUUUUCAUUUAUGGCACUGUGGCUCUUGGCUUCUCUUGAUUAUUAUAUAUUUAAGAUUGUCAUCACUGUCAGAGUAAACAAGUGACCCAAUUCAGCUUGAUCUUCACCUUUCACCCACGUAAAAUUUCAAAAGGAGACUCAUUGUUUUUGCAUGUGUCGUAACCCUGUAAUUAUGAAGAAAUUCAGUAGCAAAUUACUUCCAUGGCUUUUCCCCUCCAUUCUCAGCAGUUGAAAGCAUUCCUUCAAGAGACAUCAAAUAGUCUCAAUUUCCCUGUUCUUUUGAGGAUACCAUGCUAAUGAAAAUAUACAUGAAAGAUUUUUUUCUGAGAGAGAAAAACUGUUAAAGUCGGUAGAAGUAAAUAGUUCCACAUUAAUAGUUACAUUUUAGCAUGCAUUCCUUUUAUUUCUCACCACCUUGUUAAUGUUGGAAAGGUGCUCACUGGGGAACAUCUCAUAACUUUGAAGAAGAUCCUGAUGCACAAAAAGUGUCAAAUCAUGUAUUACAGUAGUUUUGCUAGGUUGCUAGAGCCAAAUUGUCAUAUAUUGUAGUUGCUGUCAUAGCUUGGGGAAAUAGUGGGGAAAAAAUACUUGACCAAAUUACAGAACAUGUAAAUAUAUGUCCUGUGAAAGAAGUGGUGAAACUUGAUUCCUGUCUCUACAAUAGUCUAUCAACCACCAAAAGAAAUUAACCUAAACUUAAAUGUAUAGGUUAGGAAAUAC